CACCUUGGGAUGGACGCCGUGGGACCAAGACGCUCUGUGGUUGCAAGCCAGGGACACCCAGGGUCCCCAAGCCCAGCGCCUGAGCAGUGGGGAGGCACUUUCGCUCGUGGGGUGAUCCUCUGCUGCCCCGUUUGUGUUUUCCUUCCACACCACAGGUGCUCCGACCUCCCAUUUCAAGCAAUACUGGCGACUUGGUCUGGCCUGCGUGGACAGUAGGCGCUCCGUGGGCAUGAGUCAGGGACGCCCACGGUCCCCUGGACCCCACUCAUGCGCGGUGGAGAAGCACUUCCUUCCGUGUGGGGGGACCUCUUCCUCGCCGUUUGUUUUCCUGCCACAACACAAGUGCCUCGACCUCUCCAUUCAAGCUUUCCUGCUGCUUUGGGCCGGCCCCCGUGGGCCCAAGGCGCACCGUGGGUGCGAACCAGGGACACUCAG
Molecule: long non-coding RNA, 435 nt
Filed under: Pan troglodytes (chimpanzee)
Lineage: Eukaryota; Metazoa; Chordata; Mammalia; Primates; Hominidae
Description: long non-coding RNA NONPTRT003938
Source: RNAcentral